Molecule: ribosomal RNA, 253 nt
Filed under: uncultured bacterium
Lineage: Bacteria
Description: partial 16S ribosomal RNA
Rfam family: Bacterial small subunit ribosomal RNA
Source: RNAcentral
UACAGAGGGGGCAAGCGUUGUUCGGAAUUACUGGGCGUAAAGGGCGCGUAGGCGGCCUUCUACGUCGAACGUGAAAUCCCUGGGCUCAACCCAGGAACUGCGUCCGAUACUGGAAGGCUUGAAUCCGGGAGAGGGAUGCGGAAUUCCAGGUGUAGCGGUGAAAUGCGUAGAUAUCUGGAGGAACACCGAUGGCGAAGGCAGCCCCCUGGGCUGACACUGACGCUCAGGCACGAAAGCGUGGGGAGCAAACGGG